This is a long non-coding RNA of Acinonyx jubatus (cheetah), 5063 nucleotides long. RefSeq lists it as uncharacterized. NCBI's taxonomy places the organism in Eukaryota, Metazoa, Chordata, Mammalia, Carnivora, Felidae. The transcript is spliced from 3 exons. The record is from RefSeq and is a predicted model, not a curated record.
UGAGAGGUUUGGUCUAGAGCAGGAAUAAGGAAUGGAUGUCAAGUAUAGUGCUUUUCCAACUGAUUUCCAGUGGCUGCUUGAAGUGCUGGGUUGUCUCAAGUUCCAAGGCCCUAUCUGGGCUCAUUAGGAAGUAACUGCAAUGGCUGCCAUAGUCACGGUGGUGGGGGAGGGGGGAAUGGCAGUGUUGUGCCACCUGCUUUCAUCCCUAGUCUACAGGAGCUCAAAGGUCCCUGAUAAAAUUUUCCAUUUAUAACUCUGUGACUCAGUGCAAUAUCGUUUUACUUAUCUUUGGCAUGAGGCCUGUCUUCAUACACAGCAACUUUCUCAUCUGCUUUAUUUAGCACCUCAGCAGCCAUCACCUGAGAAACUUUCUGAAUUACUGUGUUUCAAGUGGAGCAACUUUACAACAAAACAAACAUAUUUAUUGAUUUGUCACAGUCCAGAAAGCUGCUUCCCGUCCCCAGGGGUCCGGCAAAGCAGGAGGUGGAGGUGAAAAAUGAAGCUAACGGCAGUUCUAGACUGAGCCAUGAGAUGUGUGCAAACAUUUAGAUGGCCCCAUCCGCAGCCAUCAUUCCCAUGGUUUUCCCUCCAGUCUGCUGGAGCUGUCACCAAGAGCAGACGUUCCUGCCUGACUGGGAGGCCAGCUAAGCUCAUCAGAUUUGGGGGCCUGACGCCUCAUCUGCUGCUCCCCCCAAGCAUGCAUCCGCUCUGGCUUUCUAAACUAUGCAGUGUUCCUCACACGUGGUCUUAUUUCCGUAAGCCUCCCUGGCUUUGAACCAAGAAUGUUUCUGCAAGGAAUGCCCUUCCUCCCCACAACUGAGAAUUCCUAGAUAUCAUCCAAAAUACAGCUCAACUGUCACCUCUUCCAGGAAGCCGGCUGAGAAAUGUGAAGGGUCUAAGACUUCACCCUGCUUGCAAAGUGACAAGUGAACCUUCCACAGCUUCAAGGAUGGCAGCAGAAGACAGGAGACCCCUGGGUCAGAGACAAAGGACCUUACUGCUGACAACACAGAAGUAGUAUGAGCUUCAUGUCUGUGACGGGUCCCCUUGGCUUCAAGUCCCAUGGGGCAACCAAGGGGGGGCCCAGGUGGGUGCUGUGCAUUCAGUGGGUGUGCAUCAGAGCUGAGGAAUGUCCGGCUUAGAAAACCCAAAUCUUUUAUAACAGACUGCAGUCAAACCUGCCCUCUGCCCAGGAGGAAGAGCCAUCUCUGUCUUCCAAGGCUGCUUGCUGUACAAACAUCCUUGAAAAGACAGUCUGGAGCAAAAGGGCAAUUAGUGCCUCUGUUUAUAAAAUGAGCACAAAUGCCACAGAGUAGGAAGGACUGUCUCCCAAAAAAGUCCUCCCUGGCUACCUGAUAUGGCAGCUGCAUGGUGCUCCCUCCCACCAUGCCCUGUAUGACCUCUGCCUUGGGAAGAAAUAUGAAUUCACGUUAUGACCUGUGUAUUUUUUUUUUGGUCUACUACCAGCCUGGGUGCUCUCUGAAGUCAGGGACUGUCUUUUCUGUUUAUCUGUCAGACACAAAGAAGUGCUCAAUAAAUGUGCAAAUAAAUGAAUAAGUUGAAUAAUUAAUAUUGGGAAUUUUGACAGCUGUGGUUUUGGGGUAAUCAGAUAAGGACAGCAAAUGUCUGGCAUUUACUGACUGCUUACUCUUACGUUCUACACAAUGUGUGGCUUUUUUUUUUUUUAACCUGUAUUAUUUUUAUCUUAUCUGCAGGGCAACACUACAUGGAAGGUACUUUCAUUAAUACUGCUGUACCUAUGGAGAAACUAAGGCUUAGAGCAGUUAAGGCAUUUAAUCAAAAUCACACAGCUCAUAAGCCAUAAGGCCCGCACUUUGAACUGGAUCCGCCUGGACCCAAGCCCUUAGCCACCCCACUGAAAUGCUUCUCCUACAGGAGGCAACCAAGCAUUUGUCUGGAGUGUGGGGGGAGAAGGAAGGAGGCAAUGCUUAUCUUUUCGUGUUUACAGGGGUGGAGGCAGUCGCCUGCACAUCACUGUCACCCCCUCCCCAGGGUGACUUGUACACUGAACGCUGGGAUAGUUUCCACCAGAACUUCACACCUUCCUAAUCUGCCCCACAGUGGGGCGGAUGCUUUUUGGUCUUGGGAACAGUCUGGAAUGCAAAACUGACCUUGCUCCCUGAAAAGGGGAGUAAGGAUGAGAUAAAUCUGUGGAGCCUCUAUUUGCUACAACUUCUAACACGCAGACAGCCAUUGCCCUGAACCUACUGGUAUCCAAAGAAAUAGAAAUAAAAAAAAGGCUCUAGAUGAUCACCCGUUGUAACACCCACUAUAGAUGAGGGUUGGUGGAAUACAGUCUCAGAAAUUGCUAAGAAUAAAAGUAGUACAAUCUUUCUGGAGGAAAAUACGGCACUAUCUCUCAAAACGUUAUAUAUGCACACCCUUUGGCUUAUUUAGCAAUUUAAUUUUUAAAAGUUACACAAUGAAAAUACUUGCAAAAUCAUUUAAAAAUAUAGACAGAUGUGGGGUGCCUGGGUGGCUCAUUUGGUUAAGCGUCAGACUUCGGCUCAGGUCAUGAUCUCACGGGUCAUGAGUUCGAGCCCCGAGUCGGGCUCUGUGCUGACAGCUCAGAGCCUGGAGCCAGCUUUGGAUUCUGUGUCUCCCUCUCUGUCUGCCCCUCCCCUGCUCAUGCUCUCUCUCUGUCUCUCAAAAAUAAAAAAAAAUGUUAAAAAAAUUUUUAAAAAUAUGUAGACAGAUGAUUAUGGCAAAAUUAUAAAUAAUUCAUAUGCUCCUCUUAAAAACAUUUUUAAAAUAUAGAGAUAAAGGAAAAGUCUCUGCAAAUUUCAAUUCCUCCAGAGAUAUCUACUAUUAAUGAUUUAGCAUAUAUUUUGCUCAGCUUUUUAGGCAUACUUUUCUUUCUAAAAAUAAGGUAUUUUUAUAUGCUGUAUGUGUAAAGUGUAUUUUAUAUACUUUAUAUAGUAUACACACUGUUCUGCGAUUGCUUUUUUCACUUAACAUUGAAUUGAAGACAUCCUUUCAUAUUAACUUCUAUGAAACCUAAAUGAAACUCAUUUGUGUUAACUUCAUAGUAUUUUCAUGUUGCAUGUGGCAUCAUGCAUAUUUCAUGAAUUCCUUCUCGAAGGAUACUUAGGUCGAGGACAGUACAAUUUAAUACAGCCAGGUUAUAGCUCAAAGAGAAAUGCCUACUUCUUCUUCAAAUCCACUCACCCACAUCAACUUUAUUUGGGACUGUUUAUCCAUUUCUCAGAAUGAUCCAGAACUCUUCGAUUUUUCCUAAAUUUUUUUUCCUGCUGUAUUAAGGCAUGAGGGCCCUAAACUUGGCCAGAAAUCACAAAGUCAACUCAAACUAUAAAUCUAGAAAUGCAAACAUACCCAGAUGUUUGGUUACAGGACUGGAGACCUGCACAUUCACACAAGACUAUGCUAUCACCCUUACAACCCGAAGUCGGCUGUUUUCUAUAGAAACCAGUAUACAUCCUGCCAGCUUCCCGUAACUUGUCAGCGCCUGACUGUCACCUAUUCUUGUCAUUCACUGUGUCCCAUCCUUCCUUCAGUGUGUAUCCCCAAUGCCCAAACCAGACACAAAUGACUGGCAAGGACAAGAUGGGGGCAGGGUGAGUCAACCUGAGCACAGAGCUUCUGGCAAAGCCCAUGACUCAGAGGGUGAGGCAGGCCUCAGAAGAACUUAGCCCCAGGCUUUAAACAUCAAAGCAAAGAAGCCAGUGGAGGCCUUUUACACAUAACCUCAGCUGCCAAGCAAAUUCCAUUCUUUUUCCAACAGGUUGCUGGGAACCAGGGGAGAAGCCAAUUAGAACCCAGUUUUAAUUACUUUUCAAUAAUAACAAGCCUUACAAAGAGCUUUUAUAAACCCUGCCUUCCUAGAUUCUCACCCAAUUUUGUCAACCAGAGAUUAUUAGCCCCAUUUGAUAAAUGAAGAAACCGAAUCACAGAGGUCAGAAUUUGUAAGGGUCAGGGCAGGGUUUGAACCCAGGUUCAGACUACCUUGUUCAGACUUCAAUCAGCCUGGACACAGACAGGGAAGGGCUGUAUUUCCCAGGACUUGGCCACCCCUGCCUCCCUGUCCAACAGGACUCCCAACAGGAGGCAAGGACUUUGGGAGCUGACCGAGUUUCUCUAACAGACUCAUGCCCUGCCCAAUGCAUUUCUUUUAAAAUACACCUCCAGUGACUUGUUAUCAUGGUGCCCUCAGCAAUUCCACUAAAUUGAUAAGGGCGACUCCAGCAUCAAAUAUCAGGGGAUGGGGAGUAAAUGAAGCUGGUACCCCACCUGUGUUGACUCUGUGAUGAAUGAACGGUUGGAAGCAAAGGAGAACCUGAGGCCUAAUGGAGAAGGGGGUCAACUAACCUCCUUUCUUCUCUCACAUGCUUGGUGGGUCUGUCUCUCAGGGCUUUGAGGUGACCAGAUGUUUACCAUUCAAGGGGAAACAAACCAACAUAAGUCUUCAAAAAGUCCAGCCAUGGUUUACCAUUCUACUUCCCCAGCCUUUGACACAAAAAACAAAGUACCCUCACAAAAGAGAAGACAUUUGGUUUCACACUUGUGGAGAAUUCCCUUGUCACUGUCCAUAGACCACCAUCUCUAGUAAAAAAAGGCACUGUCUGCAUUGAUCAUUCUCUGGGACAAGGGAGUCUUGGUCACUCAAACUGCUACCAUCUGGAUGUUUUGGGUAGUGAAAUGUACCUGUGGUCUCCUAAGUCUUGAGUGGUAUCUUGGAGUUGGUUGUACGUGAUUGGAUGUGUAGGUUCAAACUAGGUAUAGUCAGCUGGAAAAACAAACUCACUCUUCUAGAUCAUAUUCGAAUGUGAAAACAGAAAAGACAGCAAAUGCAUGAUGUGCUAAGCUUUGUAGUUGUGAACCGUAUUUUAAUGAGAGGACAUGUCCCUUCAAAAUGGUGCCUUGGCUAAUUGGGCGAGAUGCUUCAUGUUUGGGGACACUGUUCUAUAAAUAAAAGCUUCUCGUUUCUGCAUAAUGGCUUGUCCGCUCUCUGGCUUCCGGCACGCCACUUUCUUCCUAACCCCUCCGCUCAAAAGUAGCCCAACAUCAAUCAGCCCACCCACUGG